RNAcentral lists this transfer RNA (74 nucleotides) under Streptococcus pneumoniae. Its description in RNAcentral is "tRNA-Asn(gtt)". It matches the Rfam family "tRNA". Rfam says of the family: Transfer RNA (tRNA) molecules are approximately 80 nucleotides in length. The record is from RNAcentral. Lineage: Bacteria; Bacillati; Bacillota; Bacilli; Lactobacillales; Streptococcaceae.
UCCGCCAUAGCUCAGUUGGUAGCAGCGCAUGACUGUUAAUCAUGAUGUCGUAGGUUCGAGUCCUACUGGCGGAG